AGGGAAUCUUCCACAAUGGACGAAAGUCUGAUGGAGCAACGCCGCGUGAGUGAUGAAGGUUUUCGGAUCGUAAAACUCUGUUGUAAGGGAAGAACCAGUACGUCAGGCAAUGGACGUACCUUGACGGUACCUUAUUAGAAAGCCACGGCUAACUACGUGCCAGCAGCCGCGGUAAUACGUAGGUGGCAAGCGUUGUCCGGAAUUAUUGGGCGUAAAGCGCGCGCAGGUGGUUUCUUAAGUCUGAUGUGAAAGCCCACGGCUUAACCGUGGGGUUAUUUGAAACCUGGGGAACUUGGGGGAGGAGGAGAAAGGUGAAAUUCCAGUGUAGGCGUGAAAUGCCUAGAGAAUUGGGAGAACCACCGUGGGGAAGGCCGCCUUCUUGUUCGGAAAUGAAGGCUGAGCGGCGAAGGAAUGGGAGCAAACA
This 424-nucleotide ribosomal RNA is filed under the name uncultured Caryophanaceae bacterium. RNAcentral's name for it is "bacterial SSU rRNA". It matches the Rfam family "Bacterial small subunit ribosomal RNA", at positions 356 to 774 of the family's 1533-position model. Lineage: Bacteria; Bacillati; Bacillota; Bacilli; Caryophanales; Caryophanaceae. The record is from RNAcentral.